Small nuclear RNA from Nannospalax galili (Upper Galilee mountains blind mole rat), 164 nucleotides. Its record names the gene U1. It matches the Rfam family "U1 spliceosomal RNA". Rfam says of the family: U1 is a small nuclear RNA (snRNA) component of the spliceosome (involved in pre-mRNA splicing). The record is from Ensembl. Lineage: Eukaryota; Metazoa; Chordata; Mammalia; Rodentia; Spalacidae.
AUACUUACCUGGCAGGGGAGAUACCACGAUCACGAAGGUGGUUUUCCCAGGGUGAGGCUUAUCCACUGUACUCUGGGUGUGCUGACCCCUGUGAUUUCCCCAAAUGUGGGAAACUGGACUGUAUAAAUUGUGGUAGUUGGGGACUGCGUUCGAGCUCUCCCCUG